UAUUAAACGUUGAACGGCCCAAAUUAAUUCUUAAGGUUCAGAGAGCUGAUGCUUGGUGCAAAUCAGUCCUUGAGAUUAAUGGCACAGCCGUGAGUUAGAUUAUCGAAUAAAGAUGAUCCGUUAGCCCGUUAUCGCUGUAGUUUUAGAAACUACAUAAGUUUAGGCUGUGUGAGCAGCUUAUUAAACUGAGGUGGCACCGCGAUAAAUUCGUCCUCUUGGAGUAAUCCAGAGGUUUUUUUUGUUGGUCUAAAACUAGCUGAGUUGUUUGCUGCGAAGUGAACAAAAUUUGAGGUGGUACCGCGAAACAUUCGCCCUCUUU
This 319-nucleotide non-coding RNA is filed under the name Latilactobacillus graminis. Its description in RNAcentral is "Lactobacillus graminis T-box sequence". The stretch from base 1 to 218 matches the Rfam family "T-box leader". From Rfam's summary of the family: Uncharged tRNA acts as the effector for transcription antitermination of genes in the T-box leader family. T-boxes are found upstream of many aminoacyl-tRNA synthetase genes and some amino acid biosynthetic genes usually in Gram-positive bacteria. The anticodon of a specific tRNA base pairs to a specifier sequence within the T-box motif, and the NCCA acceptor tail of the tRNA base pairs to a conserved bulge in the T-box antiterminator hairpin. Lineage: Bacteria; Bacillati; Bacillota; Bacilli; Lactobacillales; Lactobacillaceae. The record is from RNAcentral.